RNAcentral lists this ribosomal RNA (253 nucleotides) under uncultured bacterium. Its description in RNAcentral is "partial 16S ribosomal RNA". The stretch from base 27 to 253 matches the Rfam family "Bacterial small subunit ribosomal RNA", at positions 550 to 776 of the family's 1533-position model. The record is from RNAcentral.
UACCAGCACCCCGAGUGGUCGGGACGUUUAUUGGGCGUAAAGAGCUCGUAGGCGGUCCAUUAAGUCGGAAGUGAAAUCUCAGGGCUCAACCCUGAAAUUGCUUUCGAUACUGGCGGACUUGAGGCAAGUAGGGGAGAGCGGAAUUCCUGGUGUAGCGGUGAAAUGCGCAGAUAUCAGGAGGAACACCGGUGGCGAAGGCGGCUCACUGGCCCGAUACUGACGCUGAGGCGCGAAAGCGUGGGGAGCAAACAGG